Molecule: long non-coding RNA, 373 nt
Organism: Lycium ferocissimum
Lineage: Eukaryota; Viridiplantae; Streptophyta; Magnoliopsida; Solanales; Solanaceae
Exons: 2
Source: RefSeq, a predicted model, not a curated record
UAGUUUUCUCUUUCAACAAAAACUCUUUCCACCCAAGAACUUCACCCAAAAUUCGUACUCCACCAAAAAUUCGUUCGAUUGCUUCACGAAAAUUCAACUGAUUCACCGUGCAUAGCUUCGAAUAGUAGCGGAAAAUUGUAGAAUCACUUCUUCCAGGAGACCAUGAAAAGAAAACGCAAGAAUUCAGCUCAAGCACUGUUGGAAAGUCUAAGAGGACAGCAAGCUGAUAAUAAUAGCCCAACUUCUCAAAAUCUGCAGCAACAAAUUAGUCGUGAUCAACUUGAUGCCCAACAUGAGAAUGAGAACAUAGAAACCCCUACACUCGGUGAUGACAACUUAAAUUCUUCUUCAAGCUCUAAUGAAGCUAACUCAC